RNAcentral lists this long non-coding RNA (781 nucleotides) under Homo sapiens (human). Its description in RNAcentral is "novel transcript, antisense to RIPOR2". Lineage: Eukaryota; Metazoa; Chordata; Mammalia; Primates; Hominidae. The record is from RNAcentral.
AUUCAUAUGAAUAGGCUUCUUGAGCCUUGUGAAGAGUGAAUCCCAGGUGGGGUAAUUCUCACCACUGAGGAGAAAGAAUUUUUUGAAGAGGGCUGCAGAUCCGGUUGGAUAUGAAUACAGAUAUCACUCAAAGUCUGAAUGCAAUGAAUUCUAUUUCAAAGCAACAACUUUCAUAUUUCCUUAAAGAGGAAGUAUAUGUGUUUCAGUGACCUCUGACUAUACAGAGACAGAAAAACAAUUUGGAGAAAGAGAUAUUUUGAAGACUAUGUGACAGAAAGAAAGAAGAAAGAAAAAAGGAGGAAGAAAGAGAAAACGUGAAGGAGGAGCAGAAUAUUCUUCUUUUGGAAGGAAAAUACUUCCAGAUUGUGUCUGUUUUUUUAAAGAUUCCGUGGGAGGAUAUCCAGAGACACUCCUUGAUUUAAAACUUCAGCCUUCCCUCCCGCAAAUUCGGCUCUGGGUGCCUAUCAAUGCUACAGGACAGACGUGGGCCCAGAUAAGGCUGAAACACACCUCAACUCUCCGUCUCGGGUUUUGGGCUCACCUUAGAUGCACUCUAACUCUGCUCUGUCAGGCAUCCAGGAAGAACUACAUGCAUUUGGGUCAAUUUGGAUGGAGGAAAUGAAGAAUUAUCGAGUAAGAAAUCACCAUUCCUCUUUUGUGUACUAGAAGGCUCAACCCUGAAUGUACCUUCCUACUUUAAUGUCUGAAAUGUAUUAAUAAAUUACGAUAAAGAAUGAAACAGUGAAAACAAAACCCCAGAAUAAAAGAAAAGAAAACGUGU